UGAACGCUGGCGGCGUGCCUAAUACAUGCACGUCGAGCGAACAGACGAGGAGCUUGCUCCUCUGACGUUAGCGGCGGACGGGUGAGUAACACGUGGAUAACCUACCUAUAAGACUGGGAUAACUUCGGGAAACCGGAGCUAAUACCGGAUAAUAUAUUGAACCGCAUGGUUCAAUAGUGAAAGACGGUUUUGUUGCCCUUAAUUGAUGGUCCCGCGCCGCAUUAGCUAGUUGGUAAGGUAACGGCUUACCAAGGCAACGAUGCGUAGCCGACCUGAGAGGGUGAUCGGCCACACUGGAACUGAGACACGGUCCAGACUCCUACGGGAGGCAGCAGUAGGGAAUCUUCCGCAAUGGGCGAAAGCCUGACGGAGCAACGCCGCGUGAGUGAUGAAGGUCUUCGGAUCGUAAAACUCUGUUAUUAGGGAAGAACAAAUGUGUAAGUAACUAUGCACGUCUUGACGGUACCUAAUCAGAAAGCCACGGCUAACUACGUG
Molecule: ribosomal RNA, 495 nt
Filed under: uncultured bacterium
Lineage: Bacteria
Description: partial 16S ribosomal RNA
Rfam family: Bacterial small subunit ribosomal RNA
Source: RNAcentral